Molecule: long non-coding RNA, 989 nt
Organism: Cyprinus carpio carpio
Lineage: Eukaryota; Metazoa; Chordata; Actinopteri; Cypriniformes; Cyprinidae
Source: Ensembl
AUGCAAAUGGAAAGGAAGUCAGAGCACUGCACAAAUAUGAUACUAUCUUGUGUUAUUCUGAUAAGCAUUAGUCUGUGGUUCAACAGCAUGUAUGAGACCCAACGUAUUAACAGGUAUCUACAUGUUUCAAGUUUCAAAUGCACAUUCUGGAGCCCAGCACUCACUCCAAGUCAAGUACAAAAUCAAAAGCAGUUUGUUUAAAUCUGUGUUCCGAGGAUGAAGGGAGCUGCUGUAACCUAAGGGGUGUAAGAUAAGAGGAUGAUGCAUCUCUGAAUCAGUCAGACACUGGGCUAAUACUAGCAGUGGGGGGCACACGGAGGCCCUGAAGGUGGCUUGUGGGGGUGAGAGAUGACUAAUUGGAACGGUGAGCUCUCCUCCCCUUUUCCUGCUGUUUCUGUCCUGUGGCUUUUCCCAGGGUCCCGUCCCUGUUGGACAUCUAGGCCUACUGCGAGAUUACACCAGAUCACAUCACAGAAAGUCUGUCUAUACGUAAACAAACACACAUAAAUCCACACACGCCUGGAAAUCCGUCAAAUAAAAGAGGAAGAGAGAUGGGACGGCGGCAGAAGAUUGAUGCACGAUCUGUUUCUUGCUCUUUCAGACUCUUUCUCUCUUUAUCUUUCUUUAUCUAUGUACUGCAUGUCGUAGAGAGCUUCCAGAAGCAUCCUACCUGUUCGGAGAUGAUUUAGGAUUAAGGAAAAGAGGUUUUAUGACAUUGCUCUCAUAAUAGGCUUUAUUCUUCUCUAAAGCCAGUAAUCAUGUGAAAUGCAACCCAUGGGCCAAUAAUGAGUUUUGCAGUACAGAAAUGUUCCUGUAAACUGUCAUAAAUAAACACAUUUCAAUAAUGUUUUUUUCUUUACUGUAAGGCAAAUAUUUGUUAUUAUUCUGAAAUGUAUGCAUUAUUUAAUUUUGGUUUAUAAUAAUAAUUAUAUCUGUGUUUUGUACAAUGCACUUUGUGUCUUUCUAUUUCAGACUUAAUUUCCAUUCAC